Molecule: ribosomal RNA, 336 nt
Filed under: uncultured bacterium
Lineage: Bacteria
Description: bacterial SSU rRNA
Rfam family: Bacterial small subunit ribosomal RNA
Source: RNAcentral
GACGAACGCUGGCGGCGUGCCUAAUACAUGCAAGUCGAGCGGAGUAAAAGCGUGCUUGCACGGUUUUAUUAGCGGCGAACGGGUGAGUAACACGUAGGUAACCUGGCCAUAAGACAGGAUAACGCACGGAACGUGAGCUAAAACCAGAUAGGCAUUUCCACGCAUGAGGGAGAUGAGAAAGGCGGAGCAAUCUGCCGCUUAUGGAUGGACCUGCGUCGCAUUAGCUAGUUGGAGUGGUAAAGGCACACCAAGGCGACGAUGCGUAGCCGACCUGAGAGGGUGAGCGGCCACACUGGGACUGAGACACGGCCCAGACUCCUACGGGAGGCAGCAGUA